GGUAAACGUUGAGUUUUUCCCAUUUCGUCCGUUGACGUAUGGUUGUAUCCCUUCCGGUCAUUCAUUAAUGUCUGGUUACCUCUCCGUUGGUCUUGGUAAACGUCGAGUUUUUCCUAGUUGUCCGUUGGCAUCUAGUUGUGAUUUCUAUUCCCAUUCGUCAUCGUUGCGAUGUCUGUAUGUGGCCGUACCCUUUGAAAACAAAA
Molecule: long non-coding RNA, 203 nt
Filed under: Lathyrus oleraceus (garden pea)
Lineage: Eukaryota; Viridiplantae; Streptophyta; Magnoliopsida; Fabales; Fabaceae
Description: Pisum sativum (pea) long non-coding RNA (PSAT_LNC036612)
Source: RNAcentral